This 460-nucleotide ribosomal RNA is filed under the name uncultured bacterium. RNAcentral's name for it is "partial 16S ribosomal RNA". It matches the Rfam family "Bacterial small subunit ribosomal RNA", at positions 338 to 795 of the family's 1533-position model. The record is from RNAcentral.
CCUACGGGUGGCAGCAGUGAGGAAUAUUGGUCAAUGGACGGGAGUCUGAACCAGCCAAGUAGCGUGAAGGAUGACUGCCCUAUGGGUUGUAAACUUCUUUUAUCUGGGAAUAAAACGAGGCACGUGUGCGGUUUUGCAUGUACUCUAUGACUAAGGAUCGGCUAACUCCGUGCCAGCAGCCGCGGUAAUACGGAGGAUCCGAGCGUUAUCCGGAUUUAUUGGGUUUAAAGGGAGCGUAGAUGGAUUGUUAAGUCAGUUGUGAAAGUUUGCGGCUCAACCGUAAAAUUGCAGUUGAUACUGGCAGUCUUGAGUACAGUAGAGGUAGGCGGAAUUCGUGGUGUAGCGGUGAAAUGCUUAGAUAUCACGAAGAACCCCGAUUGCGAAGGCAGCUUACUAAACUGUAACUGACACUGAUGCUCGAAAGUGUGGGUAUCAAACAGGAUUAGAUACCCUGGUAGUC